UGGGCAACCUGCCCCAGACUCAGGGAUAACCCCGGGAAACCGGGGCUAAUACCCGAUACUCCGAUCGAACCACAUGGCUCGAUCGGGAAAGCUCCGACGGUCUGGGAUGGGCCCGCGGCCUAUCAGCUUGUUGGUGGGGUAACGGCCUACCAAGGCGACGACGGGUAGCUGGUCUGAGAGGACGACCAGCCACACUGGAACUGAGACACGGCCCAGACUCCUACGGGAG
Molecule: ribosomal RNA, 229 nt
Filed under: uncultured bacterium
Lineage: Bacteria
Description: partial 16S ribosomal RNA
Rfam family: Bacterial small subunit ribosomal RNA
Source: RNAcentral